GACGAACGCUGGCGGCGUGCUUAAUACAUGCAAGUCGAACGAAGUGGCGAACGGGUGAGUAAUACGUGGGUAACCUGCCCUCAUUCAUGGGAUAAGUCUUGGAAACGGGGUCUAAUACCGAAUAGUGGGGGAUGGGCUCGCGGCCUAUCAGCGUGUUGGUGGGGUAAUGGCCUACCAAGGAGGUGACGGGUAGCCGGCCUGAGAGGGUGACUGGCCACAUUGUGACUGAGAUACGGCCCAGAAUCCUACGGGAGGAAGCAGUGGGGGAUAUUGCACAAUGGGCGAAAGCCUGAUGCAGCGACGCCGCGUGGAGGGUGAAGGCUUUCGGGUUGUAAACCUGUUUCGCUAGCGAACGGGUAGGUGGAGAAGAAGCGCCGGCUAACUACGUGCCAGCAGCCGCGGUAAUUC
This 408-nucleotide ribosomal RNA is filed under the name uncultured bacterium. Its description in RNAcentral is "partial 16S ribosomal RNA". It matches the Rfam family "Bacterial small subunit ribosomal RNA", at positions 28 to 526 of the family's 1533-position model. The record is from RNAcentral.